This 333-nucleotide ribosomal RNA is filed under the name uncultured eukaryote. RNAcentral describes it as "partial 18S ribosomal RNA". It matches the Rfam family "Eukaryotic small subunit ribosomal RNA", at positions 1470 to 1796 of the family's 1831-position model. The record is from RNAcentral.
CCCUUAGAUGUCCGGGGCCGCACGCGCGCUACACUGAAGGAAUCAGCGUGGCUUUCUCCCUGACCCGAAAGGGUUGGGAAACCCGUUGAAUCUCCUUCGUGAUAGGGAUUGGGACUUGAAAUUGUUCCCCAUGAACGAGGAAUUCCCAGUAAGCGCGAGUCAUAAGCUCGCGUUGAUUACGUCCCUGCCCUUGUACACACCGCCCGUCGCUACUACCGAUUGAACGGUUUAGUGAGGGCCUCGGAUUGGUCUCGGCCCGCUCUUUACCGGGCGGCGCCGUUGGUCGAGAAGACGCUCGAACUUGAUCGUUUAGAGGAAGUAAAAGUCGUAACA